CAUGGUGGCACAUCCAGAUACAUA
Molecule: microRNA, 24 nt
Filed under: Gyrodactylus salaris (gyrodactylosis fluke)
Lineage: Eukaryota; Metazoa; Platyhelminthes; Monogenea; Gyrodactylidea; Gyrodactylidae
Description: gsa-miR-9401-3p
Source: miRBase by way of RNAcentral